RNAcentral lists this ribosomal RNA (216 nucleotides) under Glomeromycotina sp. Its description in RNAcentral is "partial small subunit ribosomal RNA". The stretch from base 75 to 216 matches the Rfam family "Eukaryotic small subunit ribosomal RNA", at positions 721 to 864 of the family's 1831-position model. The record is from RNAcentral. Lineage: Eukaryota; Fungi; Glomeromycota.
GGGUCAGUAGGUUGGUCGUGCCACCGGUACGUACUGGUCUCACUGAUUCCUCCCUCCUGAAGAACCGUAAUGCCAUUAAUUUGGUGUUGCGGGGAAACAGGACUGUUACUUUGAAAAAAUUAGAGUGUUUAAAGCAAGCUAACGCUUGAAUACAUUAGCAUGGAAUAAUGAAAUAGGACGAUCGAUCCUAUUUUGUUGGUUUCUAGGAUUGACGUG